Molecule: long non-coding RNA, 2025 nt
Filed under: Lathyrus oleraceus (garden pea)
Lineage: Eukaryota; Viridiplantae; Streptophyta; Magnoliopsida; Fabales; Fabaceae
Description: Pisum sativum (pea) long non-coding RNA (PSAT_LNC030079)
Source: RNAcentral
GGAAGUCAAGCUCAUCUGCUUUGUUCCAACAUAUGGGGGGUAUAUCCAGCAAAAUGCAAUGAAAAGUAGAUCCAUUGGACUUGUACACUUUACAAACCCAAUCCAGGCUAAGUGAAAGAAAAUCUUGUGAUCCACGUGCAUCAUGAAAGACUCUCAUAACACACUUCAUCAACGUAUUCACACACAUGGCCGAAAUUGUUCUCCUCUGUCGCGCCGAAAUUCGUCAUCGGUGGCGGCGGAGCCUUAAAAUAGUCAAACUAUACCCCAUUCUCUUUGCGCCACAACCCUUUAUCUGAAACCUUACUCUAUUUCGUCCAAUUUCAACCCAAUCAAACCAAAUUAUCCACCACAGUCAAGAACCUUAAUCCAUAAUUACGUAAAUUAAAUGUAAGGGAGAUGAAAUUGAAGCCGACACCCUUAGCGCUUCAAUUCCCUAAGCUAAGGGUUACAUCUCGGUAACAAGUUGAAGACGAAAUGAAGGAGAAGUGCAAAGGAGCUUACCGGUCGGAGCAGUUUCGGCGACUCUUCAAGGUAAGUUCUUCAAGCUUUAUUCACUCAUUCUUCUUCGUCUUCCUCGCUUCUGUCUUCUUCUUUUUCUUCUUGCUUUUCUGGUUCCUCCUCCUCUUCUCUUCUUCUAUGCUUGAUGUGUGAGAGAUGAGAGAAUGAGAUUUUGAUAGGCGAAGGAGAAUCAAAGUGAGUGAAAAUGCAUAAUGAGGACGAAUCUACAAAAUUCUGAGAAAAAUGAGUGAAGAAUCGUCCUCUCUAAACGUGAAUGGAAACCAGAUUAUAUAGAGUUUCAACUUUAACAGAGAUUAACUCUGUUAAAGCUCUCUCAGUUCAAGUUAGUUAGAGGUUGGAUCUCUGUUAAAAAUCUAUCAAGGUUAGUUAGAAAUGUUAGUUAUGAUAUCAAUUUAUUAAUUGUUGAUUUGAAGUUAGUUAGUAGUUAGUGAUCCAAGGUGUGACUGGUUGAUGCAGGUUACAGGUUAACAUGAAUUAUGUGAAGUGGCUAUGGAUUAUACAUGGUGAUGACAUGCUAAACAGGUAUGAUUUCGAGUUGCAAGUUUUGAGUUAUUUUAGCAAACUGCAUGAUGACUUAUUGAUGCGGGUUGCAGGGUAAUGGUCUACUGAUGGGUGAGCAAGGUGGUUGCAUUCCUACUGCAGGUGUGAGUGAUGUUACGUGUGAAUCUGAUUUUUUAGUUCUGUUAUAGUUAAUUGGUUUUGUUAAAUGAUGUUAGUGAUAGUUGGUUGAAAUCUGUUAGGAGAAAAUCGUUAGCUUGAGUUUGAGUUAGCUGGUUUUUAAUUAGUUAAUUUCUUUGUAGCUUCAGUUGAGUUCGGUUGUUAGCUUGAAACUAAGUUUUGAAUUUAGGUAUGUUAGAUUUCAGUUGUUAAUCCUCUGUUAGUUAAUUAGUGUUGAAUCAACUAGAAGCUUAUUAGUUACAUUUAAUUUGUGAAGUCUAAUGGUGAUAUAAUGUGUUAGUUAACAGGCUGUUAUCAGUUAGGAAAACAUACAAGCUGUCAUAUGGUUUACUCAUGCCCUGUAUUGACUGUUAUGCCUUGGUCUAAAUAUUAGGACUAGUUUGCCUAUUUUUAGUGUUUGCUUGUUAUGAUGGUUGCUUAAUGAUGUUAAUGACUUGCUUUGAUAUGCUUGCAGACCCAUAAUGAGCUCAUGGUGGCAUAGCCAAAGGAAGCACAUGGAGGCCUUUGAGGAUGCAAGGAUGGGCUGCCAUAUUAAAAGCUCUUUUUUCCUUUCUUCCUUUUGAUUCAAACCAUGUUAUGAAAUAGAAUUGGGGCUUACUCUUUGUAUGGAUAUGAUCAUGUAAAGAUACACUUUGUAAUCAAACUUCAAUUAUCACUUCAAAUUAUGGAUGCCAUUUACACGGAUGCAAGCUAGUAAAUGAAUGAAAGUUAUGAGGUUUGGUUCUUUCUAGAAAAAGUCAAUUGUCGACCAAAGUCAACUUUGGUCGAAGUUAUAUUUUUUGUAAUUUUAUUUGUGAUGCAAUUAAUGAACAAAAACGGUUCUUUUAU